GUGAGGAAUAUUGCGCAAUGGGCGAAAGCCUGACGCAGCGACGCCGCGUGGAGGAUGAAGGUCUUCGGAUUGUAAACUUCUGUUAAGUGGGAAGAAAGGGCUGUUUUUAAUAGAAGCAGUUAAUGACGGUACCAUUAAAGAAAGCACCGGCUAAACUCGUGCCAGCAGCCGCGGUAAUACGAGUGGUGCAAGCGUUAUUCGGAAUAAUUGGGCGUACAGGGUGUGUAGGCGGUAUGUUAAGUCUGUUGUUAAAGACUCCGGCCUAACCGGAGACAGGAAGCGGAAACUGGCGUACUAGAGGGUGGAAGAGAGAAGUGGAAUUCUCGGUGUAGCGGUAAAAUGCGUAGAUAUCGAGAGGAACACCGAUGGCGAAGGCAGCUUCUUGGUCCAUACCUGACGCUGAAACACGAAAGCGUGGGGAGCAAACAGGAUUAGAUACCCUUGUAGUCC
This 450-nucleotide ribosomal RNA is filed under the name uncultured bacterium. RNAcentral describes it as "partial 16S ribosomal RNA". It matches the Rfam family "Bacterial small subunit ribosomal RNA", at positions 354 to 796 of the family's 1533-position model. The record is from RNAcentral.